This 3148-nucleotide long non-coding RNA is filed under the name Marmota monax (woodchuck). The record is from RNAcentral. Lineage: Eukaryota; Metazoa; Chordata; Mammalia; Rodentia; Sciuridae.
AGGAGAAGGGAGCCCGGGAGGAAGGGGCUCUUCCUGUGAAAGCUCACGUGGGACUCCAGGCCGGCCAGUAGAACAUCUGGUGUGGCCCUGACGGCAGGGGUCAGAGCCCUUGCUGGGGCAGUCUUGGUCACUCUUCUGGAAGCCACUGCCUUCUCGCAGUCUGUGUCCCCCGCACCAGCCCUGGGUGUCUGUGUGUGUCCCCGCACUACUGUGGUACAAAUUAACUUCCCAUGUGUCCGAGCUCAUGCCAGUGGACAGUUGUCACUGUUCCCAUGCCCCUUUCUGCUGAGUUCAGCAGGAAUAGACUGAGUCCUUUGCUGUGCCUGUCCUCUGUCCUCUGUGACAGAGCUUGCUGGGGCCCUGACAGGUGCUGUGUGUGUGGUUAGUUGGGCCCGUGGGGACCUGGCUGGGGCACCCACAGCCCGUGAUAGACAGCGAUGGCCAGGCAGUGGCAGCCAACAUGCAGCCAGACCUAGCCACAGCUGAGGGCACCCCGGGCUGUGCAGAAGGCCCACAGCAGCCGCAGCACACCCACUGUGAACUGGAGAGCAGCCUCAGCCACCCCACCUCCAGUGAGCUCACGACCCACAGCGAAAGCCCUUGUGCCCUGUUGGUGCGUCAGGGGUUGGACCCGAGGACGCCCAAGCUCGUCCCCCCUGCUGAAGGAGUCGGUGCUCCCAGGCAGAGAACAGCUAGUGCAGUGAGCAUGUGGAGCUGUGGGGAGAAGCAGGCUGGGCUGCGGGAAGGACAGCUGCUCUGCUUCCACCUGCCAGUAGCCUGGGCCUCCUGGGCCGUGGGGUCCCUAGGCCUGUGGUCCUGCCCUUGAUUCUCCUCCCUGCCCCUGAUUUUCUCCAUGUCCCCUCACUAAGGCUGGGGCCUAUAGGCUGGGCAGGGGCUCUGAGCCCUACCUCCUGCAGGACAGCCCGGCACCCUGAUACCAGUGACCCUCUGCAGCUCCUGCUCGUGGAAAGAAGCGCUCGUGCGUGCACGUGAAGCCUGUCCCUUCUGGCCCCUGCACCAUGGGAAGUCCUGGGCACCGCCAGCUCCCUGUGGGUGACUGAUGUGUAGGUAGGGACUGGGCUUGGGUUGGCCUUGGGUUUGGGUGCUGGCUCUAGCAUUUCCUAGCUGUGUGUCCUAUGUAAGCUGCCCUCUGUGCGACAGCUUGCUCCCCUGCCCUCUCUGUGGAGUGAACUGCCUGGUGGGGAGAGGCGUGACUUGCAGCCUGUGGAGCCCAUAGGAAGGCCUCAGGAGUCUGCCACCCAGUGUAGCCAAGGCCGGGCUUGGGGCGCGGGCCUUGGCAUGGGCAGUGACCAGAGCCAGGCUUGGUGCUUGGCAGGGUCAGCGCCUGCUCUUUGAAAGAGCUGUGUCAGUAACCUGGAAAUCUGCGGAGGUGGGAUCAGUCUGCGGCCUGGCUGAACAAGGAGCCCUCAGCUUGACAUUGACGUCUCCAUCCUAGGCUGCACUCACAGCCAGGAACCCCAUUUCUAGAGCAUGUGGUUGUAAGGAGAAGCCUAGAAACUGUCUGGGUCUGGGGCUAGCCAGCACCAUCCUCCUGACUGGCACCCUCUGGGUGCCACAGACCCUAGCUGAGCCGAGAGCCCAGCCCCAUGCUCCUCAGCACCCUCCCGGCCAUGGCCAUUCCCACAGAGCAGCCACACACCCCUGCUCCAUAUUUAAGCCCAGUAAUUGAAUUGCAAUUGAUAGUACAUGUCGGUUUAAGAUCAUGCUAAUUGCUUCAUUUCCCAGAACACUCCUAAAAAGAAAAUGAAUUUCCCUGUAAUAUUUUCAGUGGGGUGAAAUGACCCUUGUGGAAAUCAAUCCUGGCUCUAGAAUGAGCUGCAGAGUGAGUGGGCGUGCUGGGGCGGGGCUGUGGCUCCCCUCCUGCAGCCUCAGCAGGCAUGAGGAGCUUUCCCGGCCUGAGAGUAAACCCAGCCUCGUGCCAGGCACCGUGUGAGGCUUAGCAGGGCUGUGCCUGUGUAGGCUCUGUGAGCUGGCCUGACUCGGAGGGGACUGGUCUCCCAGGGUCUCAGCACUGGCUAGAGGAGAAACUGUCCCUGUGUGAACGUCAUUCAGGAAUGGUGGGGUGUCCAGGAGUGGGCACAGGGGACAGAAUUCCUACCCGGAAAGGCCAGGGUGAUCCUGGGGCCUCUUGAGUCCCCCCUUCCUCCCUGUCCAUUGGGGCUAGGACUUCCCUUUUGGUUGGUGCCAGCUCAAAAGUGGCAGUGUGCACCCUUCUCUUGACACAGUCUGAUGUAAAAGGUCAUGGAGGUAUGGCCAUGUCCCUUACGAUCCUCAUGGCCACUUUGCUGGGCAGAAGUCAGGGUGAAGCCGGACAGUGUAAAGGAGGCAAAGGACCAGCGUAACAUGCAACAUGGAGGGACCAAGUCCUCUGGCCCUGGUGUCCACUCCCUUGCCCGGUUCUCCAGCUUCCCAGAGCCUCAGUGCUUGGAUGUCAAUGGGGCUGCCGCCCAUGGCCUACUCGACCUUCAUCCACCACCGGCCCACCUGCCCACCCAUCCUAUUCAUCUAUCCCACUCUGCCAAUUUGCUGAGCAGCACCUGUGUGUUGGCCCCUCCUUGAUACACAGAGGGGCAGGUGUGCUGUGUCCCAGGUGAGUGGGGAUGGGGUAUCCAUAGGAGUGCAGCCCUGCAGGUGGUGUGGCCAAAGUGCUCUGUGCUGGACACUUUCUGGCCUGCUUCUAUCAGGCUUCCACCAGUGUUGGGGAUAUGAUGUCCUGCACUAGACCACACGUGCCCAGGCAGACCCUGGUGCUCGUGCAUGCAUUGAGAAGCUUGUGGCACUGGGGUGCUUGGAGAGCUUGGGGCUUGGCCUGAGAGCAAGAUAGCGGAGCAUUCAGACUCUGCCCCACCUCUGACCUGGGGCAGCCUUGGCCUGAACUUACCUUUUCUGGGCCUGACUCUGCCCAUUCUGGGCCCAGAUUGCUCCUCUGACAGGAAGAGUACAGACCAACUGAUCACUAGUUCCCAUCUGGCCCAGGGCUCUCCAUAUACGGUGUCCUUAGUCUCUGUGCCUGUAGCACGCUGCCCCUAAUGCAGCUCCAUCCUGUUUCCUCAGAGCAAUUUGCUGGACGUGAACCAGAUCAUCAAGGACUUGGCCUCCAUGGCGUCGGAGCAAGGAGAUGCCGCUG